This 247-nucleotide unclassified non-coding RNA is filed under the name Hevea brasiliensis (rubber tree). Lineage: Eukaryota; Viridiplantae; Streptophyta; Magnoliopsida; Malpighiales; Euphorbiaceae. The record is from RNAcentral.
GGAAUAUUUUGAUAGAGCAUAACAAGCAAUUUUUUUAAUCCACUAAGUUAUUAUAUAAGGAAAGGAACACAAACAUAGCAAUACAAUAAACAUAUUUUGUAAGUCUGACACAUCCAAAGCAAAAAAGAAGCUAAAAAAUUCAUCAAGGAAUAAACUAAAAAUAUAAAAUGAGAAUAUAGAGCGCAAAAGAAGGAAAGCAGGUGACAUAUGUAUGAAUUGGCAUUAGAAAGUACCAUUAAACCUCCCA